GUGUGUGUGUGUGCUGGGGUGAAGGUUGUCGCGAUAUUUGUUGAGGCACUCUGGAUGACGAGUCUCUGUUUGCUGUAGCAGCCGUGCAGGGAAUUUGGCAGCUUCAGUUGAAGCAGUUCAACUAAGGCAGGCUGUGUUCAAGCGUGCUCUCUCUCACGCUCUGAGCCGGGCCCAACGCCGCCGCCGUACCGGGCUGACCUGACGCUGACCUGGUGCUGGUUGAAUAUUGCCUGGCUGUCCGAGAGCACCGCAGACUCCCUCAGACAUAGAGGGAUUAAGCGGAAACAGCUGAGAGAGAAAUAAAAGAGAGAGAGAGAGAAAGAGAGAGAGAGAGAGCCUAGCAGAACGUGUGAGCCAGUGAGAAAUGAGAAGUGAGGAAUUGAUCCAGAAAAGGCAAGAGGGAGAGAAGGAGCGAAGGCAAGGGAGGGCUUGGCGAGAUGGGUUCAACUGGUGAAGGGGUCUGUACCUCAAGUGAAAAUAUUUUCUCUGCAAACGGCCGCAAUCAUAGCCGUAUAGUGACCAAACUGCAAAAAAGGAAAGCUAUAGAGAGAGAGAGAAAGGAGAAAGAGGGAGAGAGUGACAAGCUAUGGAACAUUUGGAAAGGAAAGCACAAUAAUCUUUCACUAUGUCAUUCGUUUAAGAGAGAGAGAAAGUCCAGUCCUGCCACACUUUUGGGUGAUGCUUUGAGUAGUGUUCUACUUACUCACUUACUUACUUGUGUCCAACCGGCCUGCUAAUUUCUCUUAACUGCACCCUUGAUUAGGACAUAAUUACACUGUGGUUCUGCUGUGAGCUCAUUGGUGAUGACUCAUGUGCUAAACUAAUGCCUCAUGACAUUUAAUAUAGCCUACCCUGGGUUUAAUGCAACACCACUAAUUCAAUUAAUUUAAGCAGUUUGUGUGCAGCAGGUGAUCCUCCCUUUAAAAGAGGUUUCUGAGAAAACACGGUACUUUUUUUUCCGUUUACGCUCAGAGGCGUGUUUGCAAAGUUUUCACAAUAGAGAGCCAGGUUUUAAAAAACAACAUGUGUGUGUGAGUCUUAGCCUCGGAGCGUGUGUGAGAUCGGGACUGGGACUGGGGCUGGAGCUCAGUGGGGUUCUCCCAUGCAGGCCUGUGUGGCCUCCAAGCUCUUUGCUCCGAGCAGCUGAUCUCAGCUCCUACUACCAGAGCCUCCUCGGCUCCCUCAGCCCCUCUUCCUCCCUCUGUUUGUGUUUGAUUCAGAAUCAACUAGGCAUGGUUUACCAGCGAUGGGCCUCUUUACAUUAGAUUACUUUACUUUAGAUUAACAAAAAAAAAAAAAAUUCUAAAUUCUGAUUCUUGAGAUGUCAGUGCUCCUUCUCAUUGAUUUCUGGUCACCAGUUCAUCCUGAUUAAUAACCAUAAUAAUAAUAAUAAUAUCUCACUCAUUUCAGUUUUUCUUCAUUUGCUUGUUUUUGUACAUGUAACGGUAAACCUGUGGAUUGUGGGGAAACGAGAGCUCGCCCUAAGCCCCUGCGUGAGGUGACCAAGGUAGAUGGGCAUCGCUAGACCAGCAGGUCUUAGUAGGUGCAGGCAGAGGCCAAUGGGGAGUCUUGGACAUAGUUCUCAUUUACUGUGGAAAAAAAAAAUAAGGUUGACAAAUUUAUGAAAGCUUUGUGUUUUUUUAAAAGAAAAAUUAUUAUUUUUUAUAACUGUAUCUGAUGCUCCAAAAAAAGUUGCUUUUGAAAUGUAUGGUCAGAUUGCUAAAGGAGGAUUCCUGAACAGUUUUUUUUUUUCUUUUUUUGUGUUUUUGCAAAUGCUGUUAUGUGUCCAAUGGGUCGAUGAUGUCAUCAUUAAAAAAAAUGAAGAAAAUAAAAAAAAA
This is a long non-coding RNA of Clupea harengus (Atlantic herring), 1838 nucleotides long. Lineage: Eukaryota; Metazoa; Chordata; Actinopteri; Clupeiformes; Clupeidae. The record is from Ensembl.